UACGUAGGUGGCAAGCGUUAUCCGGAAUUACUGGGUGUAAAGGGAGCGCAGGCGGGAUAGCAAGUCAGCGGUGAAAUGCAUGGGCUUAACUCAUGAGCUGCCGUUGAAACUGUUAUUCUUGAGUGGAGUAGAGGCAGGCGGAAUUCCGAGUGUAGCGGUGAAAUGCGUAGAUAUUCGGAGGAACACCAGUGGCGAAGGCGGCCUGCUGGGCUCUAACUGACGCUGAGGCUCGAAAGUGUGGGGAGCAAACAGGAUUAGAUACCCUGGUAGUCCACACUGUAAACGAUGAUUGCUAGGUGUGGGGGGUCUGACCCCCUCCGUGCCGGAGUUAACGCAAUAAGCAAUCCACCUGGGGAGUACGGCCGCAAGGUUGAA
Molecule: ribosomal RNA, 375 nt
Filed under: uncultured bacterium
Lineage: Bacteria
Description: bacterial SSU rRNA
Rfam family: Bacterial small subunit ribosomal RNA
Source: RNAcentral